GGGUGUGUAGCUCAGGUGGUUAGAGCGUUACGUUGACAUCGUAAAGGUCAGAGGUUCGAGUCCUCUUACACCCACCA
RNAcentral lists this transfer RNA (77 nucleotides) under Alphaproteobacteria bacterium. Its description in RNAcentral is "tRNA-Val". It matches the Rfam family "tRNA". From Rfam's summary of the family: Transfer RNA (tRNA) molecules are approximately 80 nucleotides in length. Their secondary structure includes four short double-helical elements and three loops (D, anti-codon, and T loops). Further hydrogen bonds mediate the characteristic L-shaped molecular structure. tRNAs have two regions of fundamental functional importance: the anti-codon, which is responsible for specific mRNA codon recognition, and the 3' end, to which the tRNAs corresponding amino acid is attached (by aminoacyl-tRNA synthetases). tRNAs cope with the degeneracy of the genetic code in two manners: having more than one tRNA (with a specific anti-codon) for a particular amino acid; and 'wobble' base-pairing, i.e. permitting non-standard base-pairing at the 3rd anti-codon position. Lineage: Bacteria; Pseudomonadati; Pseudomonadota; Alphaproteobacteria. The record is from RNAcentral.